CAAGUCUGGUGCCAGCAGCCGCGGUAAUUCCAGCUCCAAUAGCGUAUAUUAAAGUUGUUGCAGUUAAAAGCUCGUAGUUGAAUUUCGGGAUUAGUACGUCGGUCGUGCCUUGGUACGUACUGGUGUAACUGAUUCCUCCCUUCUGACGAACCGUCAUGCCAUUAAUUUGGUGUGGCGGGAAAUCAGGACUGUUACUUUGAAAAAUUAGAGUGUUUAAAGCAGGCUCGCGCUUGAAUACAUUAGCAUGGAAUAAUGAAAUAGGACGUUAUCCUAUUUUGUUGGUUUCUAGGAUCGACGUAAUGAUUAAUAGGGAUAGUUGGGGGCAUUAGUAUUCAAUUGUCAGAGGUGAAAUUCUUGGAUUUAUUGAAGACUAACUACUGCGAAAGCAUUUGCCAAGGAUGUUUUCAUUAAUCAAGAACGAAAGUUAGGGGGAUCGAAGACGAUCAGAUACCGUCGUAGUCUUAACCAUAAACUAUGCCGACUAGGGAUCGGAUGAUGUUAAUUUUUUAAUGACUCAUUCGGCGCCUUACG
Molecule: ribosomal RNA, 531 nt
Filed under: uncultured Glomus
Lineage: Eukaryota; Fungi; Glomeromycota; Glomeromycetes; Glomerales; Glomeraceae
Description: SSU rRNA
Rfam family: Eukaryotic small subunit ribosomal RNA
Source: RNAcentral